AGUUAGGGAUAGCAGUGGAAAUCCUUUUUUGAGGUUUUUCCUGCCUCAAAAAAGAUUAUUUCACAAUAUGAUAUUUC
Molecule: small RNA, 77 nt
Filed under: Flavobacterium branchiophilum
Lineage: Bacteria; Pseudomonadati; Bacteroidota; Flavobacteriia; Flavobacteriales; Flavobacteriaceae
Description: Flavo-1 RNA
Source: RNAcentral